AGAGUUUGAUCCUGGCUCAGAUUGAACGCUGGCGGCAGGCCUAACACAUGCAAGUCGAACGGUAGCACAGGAGAGCUUGCUCUCUGGGUGACGAGUGGCGGACGGGUGAGUAAUGCAUGGGGAGCUGCCCAAUCGAGGGGGAUACCAGCUGGAAACGGCUGCUAAUACCGCAUACGCCCUGAGGGGGAAAGGUGGGGACCUUCGGGCCUACCGCGAUUGGAUGCACCCAUGUGGGAUUAGCUAGUUGGUGAGGUAACGGCUCACCAAGGCGACGAUCUCUAGCUGGUCUGAGAGGAUGACCAGCCACACUGGAACUGAGACACGGUCCAGACUCCUACGGGAGGCAGCAGUGGGGAAUAUUGCACAAUGGGGGAAACCCUGAUGCAGCCAUGCCGCGUGUGUGAAGAAGGCCUUCGGGUUGUAAAGCACUUUCAGUAGGGAGGAAGGGUUGAUGUCUAAUACGCAUCAACAUUGACGUUACCUACAGAAGAAGCACCGGCUAACUCCGUGCCAGCAGCCGCGGUAAUACGGAGGGUGCAAGCGUUAAUCGGAAUAACUGGGCGUAAAGCGCACGCAGGCGGUUAGAUAAGUCAGAUGUGAAAUCCCCGGGCUCAACCUGUGAACUGCAUUUGAAACUGUCUGACUAGAGU
RNAcentral lists this ribosomal RNA (650 nucleotides) under uncultured bacterium. Its description in RNAcentral is "bacterial SSU rRNA". It matches the Rfam family "Bacterial small subunit ribosomal RNA", at positions 8 to 647 of the family's 1533-position model. The record is from RNAcentral.